Long non-coding RNA from Helianthus annuus (common sunflower), 4477 nucleotides. RefSeq lists it as uncharacterized. The transcript is spliced from 12 exons. The record is from RefSeq and is a predicted model, not a curated record. NCBI's taxonomy places the organism in Eukaryota, Viridiplantae, Streptophyta, Magnoliopsida, Asterales, Asteraceae.
UUUCCUCCUCCAACAAUUGACAAUUGAUGCCACUGCUCGACAUCGUCUCCUAUUUCAAACCCUAAAGUAUCAAUUUUCUUUCUGAUUCUUGUCUAACAACUUCAGUUCUUGUAAUAACAACUUCAACACAGAUUGAGGCUUCGAAAAUCUCUACUGAGGAUAUCUGCAAGUGAGGUAUUCUUUAGAACGAUACAAGAAGAUGAAGCCGAUGGCGAUUCAAGCCGAUUGGAUCAUGUGAAACCUUGAUGGAAGGUAGAAUAAGAAAGAGAGGGGAAGAUGGAGGAAUAGAGAGAGACAACGAGAUAUUUUCUAGAGUUGUUAACUCAAUCGUCGUGGUCGAAUCGAUCAAAUGCUAGGUAUAUUUUUUUAUUUUGGUAAGACUUAAUUUGACAGCUUUGUUUUUCUCAAUUCGUAUAUCUUUCAUUUGCAUUGUGAUAGAGCGAGCGAGAAUAUAAAAGUUUAGGAUAAAGCUUUCUAAUGUAGCAAAGUGAUGAAUACUUCCUUCUUGGCCAUUAGCAAUUAAUUUUCAUAUCAUAAAUAGUUUUGAUUAUACAGUAGUUGUUGUUAAUGGAAUCAAACAAUAGUUAAAGCCAUUUUGUUAUGAUUUGUCAUCUGUGCAUAUACAUUUGCUAUUUAAAAAGCCUAUUUAAAAAGCCAUAACUUUUGAAAGCUUCACAUUCUAUGAUACAAUUCUCAAAUUGCAACACGAACGACAAUAAUAUCCAUAAAUUUCACAAGCAGAAGGUAACUCAUUUGACCUGCAAAAGUCAAAUACACGCAUCUAGGGACAAAAAGAACUUGACAUCCAACAUUAAGACAACUAAAAUUAUUUUAAUUCAAGUUCCCAUACUGCUAUAGUUGACCAAACUAUUGAUUUGUUUCAUAACAAGAUUCAAUUAACCCAUUAUUUAAACUAAGUUUGGUUUGUGUCACUCUGCACUUACCUUGGGAUGUGCUCUUGAUUGAUCUCGGACGUGUACUACAUAGUUGCAUAGUAGCAUGCAUCUUUCAUCGUAAUUACAGAUAAAAAUGAAAUAUAAUGCAUAGAAAAAUAACUAUAACUAUUCAUGUCUACCUGAAAAAUUUGAUUAUGCAUAACAUGCAUCACAAACUGAUUAUAUCAUUGACUUACAUGGAUGACAAUGCUGACCCGCAUAGAACAAACAAAGGUGCUCCUGAACUGGUAAGUGCAAUCUUUUAUGUUAAAUUUGAAUAGAUUUACCUGACCCUUUGUUGAUGCAAGGAAAGUUAACGCGAUGAUUGAUGAAUUUGUGGAAUGUGGAUUGCAUUUUUUUGGCUAUUGCAAAACAGGAACGUAUGACAGUUCUGAGACCAGGUGAUCCAUGGUAGUUUGUUGGUUUGUUGUACUUUUAGUCGUUUAGACCCACCUAGGCAUGACAGUGCUAAGAGCAUUGCCAAGCUCUCAAUCUUGUGAAGAUGAUUACUGACAUAGGUGAUCAACUUGCUAUAGUUGUAGACGACUUGGUAUGGGAAUGAACAUGUACCCUUCUUAUUUACUGCAUAUGGGAAAGCAGCCACAUCUCGGAUGGCUAUUGGCUCUGGAUUAAUGGCCCAAGGAAUACCAAAUGAUGUCACGUCAGGUAUCAUGUAUUGGAAUACAUGUUAUCAACAUGCUAGAGUGGAUAAUCAGACAUGCGUUCUGGUGAUAUGAUGUGAGUUUUUGCUACUUUGUGAUUUCCCGAUAUCAAGCAGUCACCUCGUAAGUCGCAACCAUUCUUCUUUUAGACAAACCUUUGCGAUUCCAAAUCUCAGUAUCGGUCUGCCGGAAAUUGUUCGAGUUGCUCGGAAUUUCUCUGCUAUGAUCAGAGUUGAGGGCCUGGAGCAUAGGGAGUGCUUUAAGCAUUUAGGAUAUGAUUCACUAGCAUUUAUGGUUUGAGGGCUUGUGAUUCAUCAAUUGGAGGCAUAAGCAAGAUAUUUGACAAGAUUGAGGUAGCCAAUAGCUAGCGAAACAGAUAGGUUGUGUGGGUUUAAUAACUGGCAAAACGUGUCUAGGCGAGUUGGACCAACUCACAAACAUUUAUAUCUGUUUUUUGAGUUUGUAAUGAGUGGAUAAUGUGUCACAUGUAUGAUAUAGAAACUACAUAUUACUAGAGUAUAAUCAAAGUAUAUUCAAUGUAAAUGGAUUAAGAAGGAUCUAUGCACGGGAGUAAGCAUUUUUGUGAGAGCUGAAUUUGGAACACCCAAAUCCUUGGGUGGAGUUUUAUGAUCCAGGCAUAUGACAAGAUGGUCAUUGGGUGUAUCAAAUUUGGUGUGUUUCUCUUACUUUCACAAGCACGAGAAAUAUGAAAUUUUUACGACUCGCGAUCUAUUAUUGAUAGAUAGAUGAUAUAAACCAAUUUGCGAGUAUAAUUAGCUUUCUAUAAGACAUGUAGGGAGUGAUUAAGCAUAUGGCUUAAUCGAUGUACAUAUAGUACCUGAAGUACAUCAGUCAAUAUGGAGACUUCAUGAUAUAUGACCAAUGGGUCAACCCCUUUUUUCUUUAGCUAAGUCUUCUAUAAGACAUGUAGGGAGUGAUUAAGCAUAUGGAUUAACCAUGCCUUUUGUUAUGUUUGACAAAUUAAAAAAAUUUAUGCCCUUUUUAUUCACAUCAGUCAAUAUAGAGACUUCACGAUAUAUGACCAAUGGGUCAACCCCUUUUUUCUUUAGCUAAGUCUUCUGUAAGACAUGUAGGGACUGAUUAAGCAUAUGGAUUAACUAUGCCUUUUGUUAUGUUUGACAAAUUAAAAAAAUUUAUGCCCUUUUUAUUCACAUCAGUCAAUAUAGAGACUUCAUGAUAUAUGACCAAUGGGUCAACCCCUUUUUUCUUUAGCUAAGUCUUCUAUAAGACAUGUAGGGACUGAUUAAGCAUAUGGAUUAACCAUGCCUUUUGUUACUGUUUCAAGUAUUCAUGUUUUAUUUUUUAUUUUCAAAAAUGCUCUCCAACUUAUAGUGCCCUAAUUUGUUUUUUUUUUUUAAAUUAUUUUUGUCUUUUUUUAACUUUAGGAUGAAAUGAAUUGAAGACUAAGAUAAAAAAAAAGUGAAUGGAUUGUUGGACUGAGCUCAUAUCGUUUAAGAUUUGUUAUACUUAACAAAACACUUUGCAAGUUUAUUUAUUCUAUUAACACGAUAUGCACAUUUAAAGUGCAAACCUGUAUUUCUUUUCUCUAUCAUAAUGAACAUAUGUAAAUUUGUAAACCUUAUACAAAGAAUCUAAAUAUUUUUCAAAAUACUAAGCAAGUUAACGAGGCAACCCAUUUUUAGACUGUUUGAGUUAGCCAGUAAAAAAUACAGCUUUCUAACAUUCUUAAAUAUAAUCCUAAAAUUGUUUCUCGUGUGAUUCAUAAAAAAACAUUACUUAAGCUUUCUAACAUUCUUAAAAGUAUUUUUAUCUUAUGUAGCCAUGAGAGUAUCAUCUCAUGACCAAGUUCCAGCUUUGACAUGGCAUUGGAGGAGGGAACCGGUAAGUGAAAAUGAUGUUGCGGACUAGAACAGUGCAAGGAGAUGCUACAGGAAUCUCUGUAACUGAGAAUAGGGAAUAGUGGAAGUCUUCUUCAUCUGGUGAGAAGUAGUCUUUACAUAUUUUUAUUUGUUUUGAUCCAUUAGUUAUAGGUAAUUGUUUGAUUCUCAAUUAAGUGUUCAAUUGUACCAUCAAUUUUUACUAAGACACGGAGUGGUGCAUUAUUUGUUCAUGCUUUUACUUAUUUCUAAGCUUUUUCAUUUAUAAAUUCAAGAAAAGUAGUCAAAUACUUGAACUUGGCAUUGGAUGGUCUAACUUUCUGCAAUUAAUUAAUCGAAGAACAAAUGUCACAUUGCCAAGUUCAAGUAUUUUUGGUAAGCGAUUCUAUACUUGACUCAUGCAGGCGCUUGCGGUUUUGUAAGCGAUUCUAUACUAUUUUUGGUAUUCACAACAUGAAAUUUAUGGUUUUAGUUUUUACCAAUGUCGUUGGUAUUAUAGGGACUUGAGUUACAAUAAUUUAAGUGGGCAAAUUCCUCCGAUAAUCGGAAACUUGACGUACACCGACAAAUUGUAAGAAACUAAAAACAUGGUUUGAUUUAUGUUUUUAUACGGUUUGGAAUCUUUCGUCAAACAACAUCGUGGGUACUAUUCCGAAAGACCUGUCUCGGAUUGGUAACUUGGAUACAUUGGACCUUUUUAACAACAAAAUUAGCGGCCCGAUCCCUUUGCCGCUUGGUGAUUUGGAAUAUCUUUUGAAAUUGAAUCUGAGUCGGAAUGAGUUCUCCGGGUAUCUACCAGCCGAGUUUAGAAACUUAAGAAGUGUCAUGGACACAGAUCUUUCGUACAAUCAUCUCUUGGGUGUAGUGCCCCAGGAACUCACGCUGUAUGUUCCCACACGACUUGCAUUUUACAAUCUUGUGUAACGUUGCAAAAUGACAUUUUUCUUUGAUUAAUGCAUUGCAGAAAGUUAGAAAGUAAUAACGUUAAAAGUGUUAUUUAUAUACUUUUAUUUGUUGUAAA